Dendroctonus ponderosae (mountain pine beetle) is the source of this 351-nucleotide long non-coding RNA. RefSeq lists it as uncharacterized. The transcript is spliced from 2 exons. NCBI's taxonomy places the organism in Eukaryota, Metazoa, Arthropoda, Insecta, Coleoptera, Curculionidae. The record is from RefSeq and is a predicted model, not a curated record.
ACCUAGCUUUAUAACAGAUAACAAGCUCUGAACAAGCAUCGGUACAUAAACAAACUGAAUUAAAUAUUAUCUGCUAUAAACAAACCUGCAAUACAAGAGAUAAACGAUGCCUCUGGCUGAAGAGGAAGAGAAAUUUAUUGAAGAAUGUAUUUGACGAAGGAAUCCCUCCACCACCAAUUAUAUCCCCUUGGUAUCCGAAAUUCAGGCAUCGGGAAAGGGGCUUCCAGAGACGGGAUAACAGAAAUUGGGGUGGACAAAACCAUAAGCAUGGCAGAGAAGGCAGAUAUGACCGGAAAUAUAGGCCUUACAAUUAAUUCACUUUUUUUAUUAAAAUAAAUUAACUGAAUCGAA